AUGGCAUCACAACAUAACUCUACGACUCAAGUAUUUAUUCAUUAGGCUCCGAGGAGCGAGAUAUUACAAACAUGGGUCUCUCGACCCAGCAUUCAGAGCAUACAAGUCAAACACAUGCGGAAGCUUAACAUGUCUGAGUACAGACAACUAUAAAUGAAAAAGGCUAAGAAGCCUGACUAUCUACUAGAUCCUGCCGAGGGCACAAGAUUAUAGCUGAGGUAACAAGCUAAACGUCGAAGUCCACGCGGAACUACUAGCGAGACUGAAGUCUCUCUGCAAAACAUAAAAUAAGCAAACAUGAGUACAAAUGUACCCAGCAAGACUUACAUCAGAACUAUCUACAUAUGCAUCGGUAUCAACAAAGGGGGUGGUGGAGUUUAACUGCAGCAAGCCAGCUUUGACUCGGUGGCUAUCCUGAACUAUGACUGCAAGCAACUCUUUUGAGGUGGCGCACACGAGUCCACAUAUUCACCAUAUCAAUACACCACUAUGGAUCCGCUCCCGUCUCCCUACGAGAACGCCAUCCAUAGCACUCACGCUUAUCUUGCGCAUUUUAGAGUAUCCACUUUCACUUGUCUAUGAACUGUUAUAGGCAACCCAGAAGUCCUUUACCGCGGACACGGCUAUUCGAAUAGAUCAUAUUAACCCUGCAGGGGUGUACUUCGUCACACACGCUCUCGCCACUUACCACCAUGUACACGUCGUGUACCUCGGCAACCUUCAAGCGGAAGCCUGGCGAGGGAGUCGGCCACAGCCUACCUAAACACUCAAGUCUCUAGUCCAGGUUUAUCGCCUAUUCAGGUUCCAUCCGCAGGGAUUCCGGCCGAGGUUUCCACAUACGGCCCCGAACGAUGUGUGCAGGGUUCCCGAGACACCAAACGGGCGACUCGGUACACCGGGCCACGAGCCUACCGCAUCACAACCCACCCCUUGGUCAGCGCUGUCCACGGCCUCCAGCUUACUACAAACACCAUAAACUACUUGCAACUCCUGGACAGAGGACAAGGGUGAUUAAGAAGCCGAGAGGGUCCAUUGGUUUCGGGCCCAAUGCGUGGUAGUAACUGUAUCAUGGAUCACAAACACAGAACUCAGUUCCUGAGGACGGCUUCAAUGAGACAACCCACCAUGUACUCCUACAUGGCCUCUCACCGCUACCUUUACCAAAUCGUGUUCACACACUUAGCUCACACACAGUAGGACAUGUUCAUCACCAUUCCAAUUCAUCCCCGACGAACCAGACCCGACUCAACUCUAAGCAGUAGCAGGCAUGACAAACAAGCAUGAAUGGGUAGGCACAUCAGGGCUCAAACAACUCCUACUCAUGCUAGUGGGUUUCAUCUAUUUACUGUGGCAAUGACAGGUCAUGCAGAGGAAAAGGGGUUCAACUACCGCAACAUGUAACAAUUGAAUCGAUUGUCCUAAUGCAGUAGAAGAGAGCAGGAGCGAGAGAAUGGGAUUGUAUCGGAUUGAACAAGGGGGUUUUGCUUGCCUGGCACUUCUGAAGAUAUUAUAGUUCUUCAUCGGUGUCAUCGAUCACGUCAUCGGAGCAUCGGCUACUGAGAGGGGACGGUUACCGGCAAACAGAGAAGGACACAAUCAAUGCAAUGCGACAAUAUGAUGCAUGGUCAUGACAUGUCAAGAAUGUUAUGAUUUACACUAAUGCAUCUAGCAACAGUUUAAAUGAGGUCCAUAUGAACUAAGGGUUCAUAUGCAAACUCCAUAUUUAGCAUUUAUAAUGUCAUUAUCAUGUUUUCACCUAUACAGCAAGUAUAACUUAGUUUGACAUGCAUGAAAAUGAUACAGAUGGAUAGAUUGCAUUUUUCUGAUCAUUUUUCAUAUAUAAAUUAUUUCAUUCUGAGCUACGGUUGAUUUUAUAUGAUUUUUAGAAGUUUAUACUAUUUUCUGGAAUUUUCUGAAUAAUAAUAAAUCCAGGAAAUGAGUUAUUGCGUCAGCACUGCGUCACUGUGACGUCAGCAGGUCAACAGGGGCUGGUCCGGGUCAAACCUGACCCGUGGGACCCGCACGUCAGUGUGACAGGGCAAGAACGAGGCUGACCAGUGGGGCCAGGUCAACGGCCACGUCAGCGUAGUCAAACUGACACGUGGGGCCACUGGACUUGGAUUAAUUCUAACUUAUUUCGUUAGCUGGUUAAUUAAACAGGUGGGGCCCGACUGUCAGUGGGUCAGGGGGUGGUUACCUAGAUGGUUAGGCAGCUAAUGACGGGUUAACCGGCGACUACUCGCCGGCGCUAAGCAGUGCACGGCGGCGAUCGCCGGCCGGCCGUUUCCGGCAACGGCUGGUCGUGCGGGUGGGUUCGCUGGGACGCCCACAGUGUGGCGUGUCCAGUGGUGGUCGUUGCAGCCGCCGGCGUGGGGUCUAGCGACGGCAGCGACGAGCGGAGCGGCGGCCGUGUUGCGGUGGUGCUCGGCCAUGGGGCUGCGAGUUGCUAGCGACCCAACGGAGCGGCGGGGCAUCAUCAGUGUUACACCCGAAGCACGAUGGGCAGCGGUGCAAGGCGGAACGAGCUCGGCAUCAAGCAGAGCAUCGGCCAUGGCGGACGGCGGCGCUCGGUCGAAGGGGGCCACGGCUAGAGGAUGAAAACGAGAGGGAAAACAGCGGGAGAUGAUGCGGGGGCUCACGUUGAUCUCGCAGAGACGCUCAGAGUGCUCGGGGAGGUCCUGUACGCGACGAAAUCGACGGCGGCGAUCCACGGCAUCGAGGAAGAAGACGGCGUUGAAGGCCGCUCUACAGGGCGUCCGGGCUUGCGUGAGUCAUCGAGGAGGAAGAGGCUGUCGUGGCGGUCUUUCAGAGCACGGAGAGAGAUCGAGGGGGAGGCUGUGGCUACGGUGGUGCUCGUCGGCGGCGACGGCUGCGCUCGGCGCGGGUGAGAGGAAGGGGGGCAGAGGGGAGAGAGCCACGGGGAGGAGUGAGAGGGGUCCGAGGCGUC
RNAcentral lists this long non-coding RNA (2947 nucleotides) under Triticum aestivum (bread wheat). RNAcentral's name for it is "long non-coding RNA (TAES_LNC000522)". The record is from RNAcentral. Lineage: Eukaryota; Viridiplantae; Streptophyta; Magnoliopsida; Poales; Poaceae.